Molecule: ribosomal RNA, 469 nt
Filed under: uncultured bacterium
Lineage: Bacteria
Description: partial 16S ribosomal RNA
Rfam family: Bacterial small subunit ribosomal RNA
Source: RNAcentral
GACGAACGCUGGCGGCGUGCUUAACACAUGCAAGUCGAACGGAAAGGCCCUGCUUUUGUGGGGUGCUCGAGUGGCGAACGGGUGAGUAACACGUGAGUAACCUGCCCUUGACUUUGGGAUAACUUCAGGAAACUGGGGCUAAUACCGGAUAGGAGCUCCUGCUGCAUGGUGGGGGUUGGAAAGUUUCGGCGGUUGGGGAUGGACUCGCGGCUUAUCAGCUUGUUGGUGGGGUAGUGGCUUACCAAGGCUUUGACGGGUAGCCGGCCUGAGAGGGUGACCGGGACACAUUGGGACUGAGAUACGGCCCAGACUCCUACGGGAGGCAGCAGUGGGGAAUAUUGCACAAUGGGCGGAAGCCUGAUGCAGCAACGCCGCGUGCGGGAUGACGGCCUUCGGGUUGUAAACCGCUUUCGCCUGUGACGAAGCGUGAGUGACGGUAAUGGGUAAAGAAGCACCGGCUAACUACGUG